Molecule: long non-coding RNA, 281 nt
Filed under: Theobroma cacao (cacao)
Lineage: Eukaryota; Viridiplantae; Streptophyta; Magnoliopsida; Malvales; Malvaceae
Description: long non-coding RNA (TCAC_LNC004607)
Source: RNAcentral
GUCAGUGUGGAUUUCUUAAAACAACUUUAAAAUCGAAAACUUUAAAAUCCAAAGCUUUAAAAUCAAAAUCUUUGAUCUUUAAACCAUGCUCUGAUACCAACUUAAUUCGAUUCAACCCCUCAGGGCAUAAUGGCAUUAAAUGGUACCUAUCAGAGCACUUGGCAAGAGGUGCACUUCACUCCGGGACGCACCGGGAGCAGUCCCUUCCCUCCUCUUCCAAGCUCCUGGGCGGAGAGUCAUACUUCGCUAUAGAUCAUAUGCGACAGUUCCCAAGAAUAGGG